GACGAACGCUGGCGGCGUGCUUAACACAUGCAAGUCGAACGGAAAGGCCCCUUUGGGGGUACUCGAGUGGCGAACGGGUGAGUAACACGUGAGUAACCUGCCCUUGACUUCGGGAUAACUUCAGGAAACUGGGGCUAAUACCGGAUAGGAAUCCUUGCUGCAUGGUGGGGGUUGGAAAGCUUCGGCGGUUUUGGAUGGACUCGAGGCUUAUCAGCUUGUUGGUGGGGUAGUGGCUUACCAAGGCUUUGACGGGUAGCCGGCCUGAGAGGGCGACCGGCCACAUUGGGACUGAGAUACGGCCCAGACUCCUACGGGAGGCAGCAGUGGGGAAUAUUGCACAAUGGGCGGAAGCCUGAUGCAGCAACGCCGCGGGCGGGAUGACGGCCUUCGGGUUGUAAACCGCUUUCAGCAGGGGCGAAGCUUGUGGUGACGGUACCUGCAGAAGAAGCACCGGCUAACUACGUG
Molecule: ribosomal RNA, 465 nt
Filed under: uncultured bacterium
Lineage: Bacteria
Description: partial 16S ribosomal RNA
Rfam family: Bacterial small subunit ribosomal RNA
Source: RNAcentral